AGUCUUAUAGUUAAUAUAAUAACAUUAAACUGCAAUUUUAAAAUAAAUAAAAAAUUUAAGGCUU
RNAcentral lists this transfer RNA (64 nucleotides) under Trombonia linearis. RNAcentral describes it as "tRNA-Cys". Lineage: Eukaryota; Metazoa; Arthropoda; Insecta; Hemiptera; Cicadidae. The record is from RNAcentral.